GCCCAGGUAGCUCAGUCUGGGAGAGCAUCGGCCUGAAGAGCCGAGUGUCCCCGGUUCAAAUCCGGGUCUGGGCA
This 74-nucleotide transfer RNA is filed under the name Methermicoccus shengliensis. Its description in RNAcentral is "tRNA-Phe". It matches the Rfam family "tRNA". Rfam says of the family: Transfer RNA (tRNA) molecules are approximately 80 nucleotides in length. Lineage: Archaea; Methanobacteriati; Methanobacteriota; Methanomicrobia; Methanosarcinales; Methermicoccaceae. The record is from RNAcentral.